GUGAAUCAUCGAAUUUUUGAACGCAAAUUGCACUCUCUUCGGAGAGUAUGCCUGUUUGAGGGUCAGCCUAAAAAAAAAAUCGACAUAGUCGCUGUUUCGCGGUGACAUUCGUCGGAAAUUUGUUCAUCUUUAACCUUUAUAUUUUAAGCUGCUUAAAAUUUUCUUUACGAUUCCACGAACGUUUCUAAGAUUUGCUUCUUAUACGUUUAAGGUAUCGAUCUUUAUUAGGCGUGACUGUUACAUCGGAACUCGUCAUUAA
RNAcentral lists this unclassified non-coding RNA (259 nucleotides) under Glomus sp. Its description in RNAcentral is "partial contains 5.8S ribosomal RNA and internal transcribed spacer 2". The stretch from base 1 to 65 matches the Rfam family "5.8S ribosomal RNA", at positions 84 to 154 of the family's 154-position model. Lineage: Eukaryota; Fungi; Glomeromycota; Glomeromycetes; Glomerales; Glomeraceae. The record is from RNAcentral.